RNAcentral lists this ribosomal RNA (484 nucleotides) under uncultured bacterium. RNAcentral describes it as "bacterial SSU rRNA". It matches the Rfam family "Bacterial small subunit ribosomal RNA", at positions 30 to 507 of the family's 1533-position model. The record is from RNAcentral.
AUUGAACGCUGGCGGCAUGCCUUACACAUGCAAGUCGAACGGCAGCACGGGAGCAAUCCUGGUGGCGAGUGGCGAACGGGUGAGUAAUAUAUCGGAACGUGCCCAGUCGUGGGGGAUAACGCAGCGAAAGCUGUGCUAAUACCGCAUACGAUCUAUGGAUGAAAGCGGGGGAUCGCAAGACCUCGCGCGAUUGGAGCGGCCGAUAUCAGAUUAGGUAGUUGGUGGGGUAAAGGCCCACCAAGCCAACGAUCUGUAGCUGGUCUGAGAGGACGACCAGCCACACUGGAACUGAGACACGGUCCAGACUCCUACGGGAGGCAGCAGUGGGGAAUUUUGGACAAUGGGGGAAACCCUGAUCCAGCCAUGCCGCGUGCAGGAUGAAGGCCUUCGGGUUGUAAACUGCUUUUGUACGGAACGAAAAGGUCCUUUCUAAUAAAGAGGGCUCAUGACGGUACCGUAAGAAUAAGCACCGGCUAACUACGUG